This 445-nucleotide ribosomal RNA is filed under the name uncultured bacterium. Its description in RNAcentral is "partial 16S ribosomal RNA". It matches the Rfam family "Bacterial small subunit ribosomal RNA", at positions 354 to 796 of the family's 1533-position model. The record is from RNAcentral.
GUGAGGAAUAUUGCGCAAUGGAGGCAACUCUGACGCAGCCAUGCCGCGUGCAGGAAGAAGGCGCUACGCGUUGUAAACUGCUUUUAACCGGGAAGAAACCCCAGGACGUGUCCUGGGUUGACGGUACCGGAGGAAUAAGCACCGGCUAACUUCGUGCCAGCAGCCGCGGUAAUACGAAGGGUGCAAGCGUUAUCCGGAUUCAUUGGGUUUAAAGGGUGCGUAGGCGGAGCGUUAAGUCAGUGGUGAAAUCCUGCAGCUUAACUGUAGACUUGCCAUUGAUACUGGCGCUCUUUAGUGCGCUUGAAGUGGGCGGAAUGUGCAGUGUAGCGGUGAAAUGCUUAGAUAUGGCACAGAACACCAAUUGCGAAGGCAGCUCACUAAGGCGAUACUGACGCUGAGGCACGAAAGCGUGGGGAUCGAACAGGAUUAGAUACCCGUGUAGUCC